GCCAGGUGUGGUGGCGGGCACCUGUAAUCCUAGCUACUUGGGAGGCUGAGGCCGGAGAAUCGCUUGAACCUGGGAGGCGGAGGUUGCAGUGAGCCAAGAUCGUGCCACUGCACUCCAGCCUGGGUGACAGAGCGAGACUCUGUCUCAA
RNAcentral lists this small RNA (148 nucleotides) under Papio anubis (olive baboon). RNAcentral's name for it is "Metazoan signal recognition particle RNA (ENSPANG00000044928.1)". The record is from Rfam by way of RNAcentral. Lineage: Eukaryota; Metazoa; Chordata; Mammalia; Primates; Cercopithecidae.